RNAcentral lists this ribosomal RNA (468 nucleotides) under uncultured bacterium. Its description in RNAcentral is "partial 16S ribosomal RNA". It matches the Rfam family "Bacterial small subunit ribosomal RNA", at positions 28 to 507 of the family's 1533-position model. The record is from RNAcentral.
GACGAACGCUGGCGGCGUGCUUAACACAUGCAAGUCGAACGGAAAGGCCCUGCUUUUGUGGGGUGCUCGAGUGGCGAACGGGUGAGUAACACGUGAGUAACCUGCCCUUGACUUUGGGAUAACUUCGGGAAACUGGGGCUAAUACCGGAUAGGAGCUCCUGCUGCAUGGUGGGGGUUGGAAAGAUUCGGCGGUUGGGGAUGGACUCGCGGCUUAUCAGCUUGUUGGUGGGGUAGUGGCUUACCAAGGCUUUGACGGGUAGCCGGCCUGAGAGGGUGACCGGCCACAUUGGGACUGAGAUACGGCCCAGACUCCUACGGGAGGCAGCAGUGGGGAAUAUUGCACAAUGGGCGGAAGCCUGAUGCAGCAACGCCGCGUGCGGGAUGACGGCCUUCGGGUUGUAAACCGCUUUCGCCUGUGACGAAGCGUGAGUGACGGUAAUGGGUAAAGAAGCACCGGCUAACUACGUG